RNAcentral lists this ribosomal RNA (259 nucleotides) under uncultured prokaryote. RNAcentral describes it as "partial 16S ribosomal RNA". It matches the Rfam family "Bacterial small subunit ribosomal RNA", at positions 524 to 782 of the family's 1533-position model. The record is from RNAcentral.
UACGGAGGGUCCAAGCGUUAUUCGGAUUUAUUGGGUUUAAAGGGUGCGUAGGCGGUUCAGUAAGUUAGAGGUGAAAUCCCGUGGCUCAACCACGGACCUGCCUCUGAUACUGCUGGGCUAGAGAUUGGUUGCUGUGGGCGGAAUGUGUGGUGUAGCGGUGAAAUGCUUAGAGAUCACACAGAAUAUCGAUUGCGAAGGCAGCUCACAAAGCCAAGAUUGACGCUGAGGCACGAAAGUGUGGGGAUCAAACAGGAUUAGA